UUUAUGGAGAGUUUGAUCCUGGCUCAGGAUGAACGCUGGCGGCGUGCCUAAUACAUGCAAGUCGAGCGAACGGACGAGAAGCUUGCUUCUCUGAUGUUAGCGGCGGACGGGUGAGUAACACGUGGAUAACCUACCUAUAAGACUGGGAUAACUUCGGGAAACCGGAGCUAAUACCGGAUAAUAUUUUGAACCGCAUGGUUCAAAAGUGAAAGACGGUCUUGCUGUCACUUAUAGAUGGAUCCGCGCUGCAUUAGCUAGUUGGUAAGGUAACGGCUUACCAAGGCAACGAUGCAUAGCCGACCUGAGAGGGUGAUCGGCCACACUGGAACUGAGACACGGUCCAGACUCCUACGGGAGGCAGCAGUAGGGAAUCUUCCGCAAUGGGCGAAAGCCUGACGGAGCAACGCCGCGUGAGUGAUGAAGGUCUUCGGAUCGUAAAACUCUGUUAUUAGGGAAGAACAUAUGUGUAAGUAACUGUGCACAUCUUGACGGUACCUAAUCAGAAAGCCACGGCUAACUACGUGCCAGCAGCCGCGGUAAUACGUAGGUGGCAAGCGUUAUCCGGAAUUAUUGGGCGUAAAGCGCGCGUAGGCGGUUUUUUAAGUCUGAUGUGAAAGCCCACGGCUCAACCGUGGAGGGUCAUUGGAAACUGGAAAACUUGAGUGCAGAAGAGGAAAGUGGAAUUCCAUGUGUAGCGGUGAAAUGCGCAGAGAUAUGGAGGAACACCAGUGGCGAAGGCGACUUUCUGGUCUGUAACUGACGCUGAUGUGCGAAAGCGUGGGGAUCAAACAGGAUUAGAUACCCUGGUAGUCCACGCCGUAAACGAUGAGUGCUAAGUGUUAGGGGGUUUCCGCCCCUUAGUGCUGCAGCUAACGCAUUAAGCACUCCGCCUGGGGAGUACGACCGCAAGGUUGAAACUCAAAGGAAUUGACGGGGACCCGCACAAGCGGUGGAGCAUGUGGUUUAAUUCGAAGCAACGCGAAGAACCUUACCAAAUCUUGACAUCCUUUGACAACUCUAGAGAUAGAGCCUUCCCCUUCGGGGGACAAAGUGACAGGUGGUGCAUGGUUGUCGUCAGCUCGUGUCGUGAGAUGUUGGGUUAAGUCCCGCAACGAGCGCAACCCUUAAGCUUAGUUGCCAUCAUUAAGUUGGGCACUCUAAGUUGACUGCCGGUGACAAACCGGAGGAAGGUGGGGAUGACGUCAAAUCAUCAUGCCCCUUAUGAUUUGGGCUACACACGUGCUACAAUGGACA
This 1254-nucleotide ribosomal RNA is filed under the name Staphylococcus aureus. RNAcentral's name for it is "bacterial SSU rRNA". It matches the Rfam family "Bacterial small subunit ribosomal RNA", at positions 1 to 1236 of the family's 1533-position model. The record is from RNAcentral. Lineage: Bacteria; Bacillati; Bacillota; Bacilli; Caryophanales; Staphylococcaceae.